GACGAACGCUUGCGGCGUGCUUAACACAUGCAAGUCGAACGGAAAGGCCCUGCUUUUGUGGGGUGCUCGAGUGGCGAACGGGUGAGUAACACGUGAGUAACCUGCCCUUGACUUUGGGAUAACCUCAGGAAACUGGGGCUAAUACCGGAUAGGAGCUCCUGCUGCAUGGUGGGGGUUGGAAAGUUUCGGCGGUUGGGGAUGGACUCGCGGCUUAUCAGCUUGUUGGUGGGGUAGUGGCUUACCAAGGCUUUGACGGGUAGCCGGCCUGAGAGGGUGACCGGCCACAUUGGGACUGAGAUACGGCCCAGACUCCUACGGGAGGCAGCAGUGGGGAAUAUUGCACAAUGGGCGGAAGCCUGAUGCAGCAACGCCGCGUGCGGGAUGACGGCCCUCGGGUUGUAAACCGCUUUCGCCUGUGACGAAGCGUGAGUGACGGUAAUGGGUAAAGAAGCACCGGCUAACUACGUGCCAGCAGCCGCGGUGAUACGUAGGGUGCGAGCGUUGUCCGGAUUUAUUGGGCGUAAAGGGCUCGUAGGUGGUUGAUCGCGUCGGAAGUGUAAUCUUGGGGCUUAACCCUGAGCGUGCUUUCGAUACGGGUUGACUUGAGGAAGGUAGGGGAGAAUGGAAUUCCUGGUGGAGCGGUGGAAUGCGCAGAUAUCAGGAGGAACACCAGUGGCGAAGGCGGUUCUCUGGGCCUUUCCUGACGCUGAGGAGCGAAAGCGUGGGGAGCGAACAGGCUUAGAUACCCUGGUAGUCCACGCUGUAAACGGUGGGUACUAGGUGUGGGGUCCAUUCCACGGGUUCCGUGCCGUAGCUAACGCUUUAAGUACCCCGCCUGGGGAGUACGGCCGCAAGGCUAAAACUCAAAGGAAUUGACGGGGCCCCGCACAAGCGGCGGAGCAUGCGGAUUAAUUCGAUGCAACGCGUAGAACCUUACCUGGGUUUGACAUGGAUCGGGAGUGCUCAGAGAUGGGUGUGCCUCUUUUGGGGUCGGUUCACAGGUGGUGCAUGGCUGUCGUCAGCUCGUGUCGUGAGAUGUUGGGUUAAGUCCCGCAACGAGCGCAACCCUUGUUCACUGUUGCCAGCACGUUAUGGUGGGGACUCAGUGGAGACCGCCGGGGUCAACUCGGAGGAAGGUGGGGAUGACGUCAAGUCAUCAUGCCCCUUAUGUCCAGGGCUUCACGCAUGCUACAAUGGCUGGUACAGAGAGUGGCGAGCCUGUGAGGGUGAGCGAAUCUCGGAAAGCCGGUCUCAGUUCGGAUUGGGGUCUGCAACUCGACCUCAUGAAGUCGGAGUCGCUAGUAAUCGCAGAUCAGCAACGCUGCGGUGAAUACGUUCCCGGGGCU
Molecule: ribosomal RNA, 1346 nt
Filed under: uncultured bacterium
Lineage: Bacteria
Description: partial 16S ribosomal RNA
Rfam family: Bacterial small subunit ribosomal RNA
Source: RNAcentral